Molecule: ribosomal RNA, 404 nt
Filed under: uncultured bacterium
Lineage: Bacteria
Description: bacterial SSU rRNA
Rfam family: Bacterial small subunit ribosomal RNA
Source: RNAcentral
UGGGGAAUAUUGCACAAUGGGCGCAAGCCUGAUGCAGCGACGCCGCGUGAGCGAAGAAGUAUUUCGGUAUGUAAAGCUCUAUCAGCAGGGAAGAAAAUGACGGUACCUGACUAAGAAGCUCCGGCUAAAUACGUGCCAGCAGCCGCGGUAAUACGUAUGGAGCAAGCGUUAUCCGGAAUUACUGGGUGUAAAGGGAGCGUAGACGGAUGUGCAAGUCUGAUGUGAAAGGCGGGGGCUCAACCCCUGGACUGCAUUGGAAACUGUAAAUCUUGAGUGCCGGAGAGGUAAGCGGAAUUCCUAGUGUAGCGGUGAAAUGCGUAGAUAUUAGGAGGAACACCAGUGGCGAAGGCGGCUUACUGGACGGUAACUGACGUUGAGGCUCGAAAGCGUGGGGAGCAAACAGG